UUAAGGGCCAGGUUACCGACACGAACAGAAGACUGCAAGACGCCGGCAGAGAGGUGACAGCCCAAACGGAGGAGGUGAUUCGCUGUCGGAUACAGCAGAGGAACAUGACUACCACUGUGGAGAGACUACAGCUGUGUAUACCUGUCCUGGAAAUGUACAGUAAAUUGAAGGAGCAGCUGGAAUCCAAAAGGUACGUGCACUUCCUUACUCUCCUCACUAUGUUCACCGUUGUCGUCAUCAAUGUUAC
Long non-coding RNA from Oncorhynchus nerka (sockeye salmon), 247 nucleotides. RefSeq lists it as uncharacterized. The transcript is spliced from 3 exons. Lineage: Eukaryota; Metazoa; Chordata; Actinopteri; Salmoniformes; Salmonidae. The record is from RefSeq and is a predicted model, not a curated record.